ACCACAUUUCAUAUGAAGUCAGGCACCUGGAACCAUCUCUUUAUUUGGUUAGUUGCGUGGAUACAAGGUCCAGCAUGUAUACAGUGAUAAGUGAUAUAGAGCCUUUAGCAGAACCUCUGAAAGAGCAAGCAUGACACAAUUCUUGGGAAAGUUGCUCACCCAAGGGAGCGCUACCCGAGCACAAACAUGCAUUCUGUCUUCCUGGGGGGCCUUGUCAAACUCUGCUGAUACAUCCAAUAUAGAAAAACACUUGUUGAUAUUAGCCUCCAAAAUUUCACUCUUAUCAGAAAAUAGCUCUGCAAGAUAGGAACAGCAAGAUCCAUCAAGAGAUGACCCAUCCUAGCUCUCUGCCUAAAGAUGGCCUUCAGCUAGGAUACACUUCUUGAAAUGCAACACAGCUAAAUGUAGUCUGCCAUCCCCACUGACCAAGAAGAGACAUUUCUUUGUCAGAAGCAUCCAUUUGGCCUUACUGGGAAAAAAAUAUCAUAAGGAUUUACAGUGGAAUUCAUUGUGUUAACAA
This is a long non-coding RNA of Corapipo altera (White-ruffed manakin), 520 nucleotides long. RefSeq lists it as uncharacterized. The transcript is spliced from 5 exons. NCBI's taxonomy places the organism in Eukaryota, Metazoa, Chordata, Aves, Passeriformes, Pipridae. The record is from RefSeq and is a predicted model, not a curated record.